RNAcentral lists this ribosomal RNA (406 nucleotides) under uncultured bacterium. RNAcentral describes it as "partial 16S ribosomal RNA". It matches the Rfam family "Bacterial small subunit ribosomal RNA", at positions 29 to 526 of the family's 1533-position model. The record is from RNAcentral.
AUUGAACGCUGGCGGCAGGCUUAACACAUGCAAGUCGAGCGAGCGGCGGACGGGUGAGUCAUGUCUGGGAAACUGCCUGAUGGAGGGGGAUAACUACUGGAAACGGUAGCUAAUACCGCAUACCAUCAGAUGUGCACAGAUGGGAUUAGCUAGUAGGUGGGGUAAUGGCUCACCUAGGCGACGGUCCCUAGCUGGUCUGAGAGGAUGACCAGCCACACUGGAACGGAGACCCGGUCCCAAGCCCUACGGGAGGCAGCGGUGGGGAAUAUUGCAGAUGGGGCGCAGGCCUGAUGCAGCCAUGCCGCGUGUGUGAAGAAGGCCUUCGGGGUGUAAAGCACUUUCAGCGAGGAGGCGUUACUCGCAGAAGAAGCACCGGCUAACUCCGUGCCAGCAGCCGCGGUAAUUC